ACCUUUUGAUCUUAUCACUCAAGUCUGUACAUCUUUUCACAUAUGGUCUCUAAAUAAGUAAGAAUGUGACUGAAGUAAUGAUUUGCCUGUAAUAUUUUUAACAUAAGAGAGUUCUCUUAACUUUAUUAUUAGAAAGAUAUUAUUUUAUCACAAUGAAAAAUUAAGAUAUGAUAAAAAACUGUGAAGAAGAAAUUGAAAGUCAUGUAUUAAUAAAAUCCAGCUUAUUUUUGUGAACAGAAUUUUAUGCAUGGAUUAGUGUAAGGAUUCAAUAAAUAUGUGAUAGUAGAGACACAAGACAUGUUCCAACUAAACAUACAGUGUGCUGGACAUGUUCAUGUACCUUGUAAACUCCUGGGAACUGAUGUGAGAGAAGUUCUUCUGUGAGGAACAUGGAGAGAAGAUUAAACAGCUUUUGUAACAAACCAGCAGAGAGGAAAAUUGAGAAAAGAUGAGGUCUCAGACUAGGAAAACAGGCAAAUACAUGAAACAACCAGAAAUAAUUAUGCAACAUGAGACCUGGAAGGAGACUUUGAGCAGCUAACAGAUUUCUGGACUGUUGAAUGACUGACAAGAUGAAUGAUUAGACUGCUUUAUCCAGAAAGUUUGAAAAUUUCUGUACCUGGAGUGAUGAGAAAUUAAGUCAUGACUUCAAGUAUUACUUACUUUAUAAAGUUACUUAUCUCUGGUGGAACAUUUUCCUUUAGGGAACAUUGUGUGAACUUUUUUUCUGGAGAGUCAUACCAGAUAAGGCACCAGUGACCAACAAUACUAUGAGGCCACUGAAGUCCAUCCUAACAUCAGCGAAACACUGCUACCUACGUGGGACAAGGCAGGACUGAGAAACUUCAGUCUACAGAGUGAUUAUUUACAGGAACAUGGGCGACCCCCAAACAGCUACACCAAAGAAAAGUCUUACUGCAGAAUGGAUGACAACUUCUCUAAGGCUAUCUUUCAUCAAGGAAACACUCAGAAGAAGCCAAGAAAGUGCUGGUGCUCUGUUCAUGAACUUCCCAGCCUCCAGAAUCAGAAAUCAACAUGCCCCUGACCUCUAUAAAUUACCAUUUCAUGCAUUCUGUUACAUCAGUGAGAAAACAGCUGGGGCAAUAUGGUAAUAUCAUGCAUAAGAUAUUGGCAAGAUACUGGUUCACUGAGUAACACAAAUAUCCCAAAUAUUGUUACAUUUUAUUUUACAGUAUAGUAUUUGCUCCUUAAUACCACAGAUUAUAUUAAAAGCCUCUUUGUUAUGAAGCUGUUACAUUUAUACUGGUCUUUAUAAAGUGUUUCAAAUUACUAAUGCUCAUUUGAAAGUUCAUGUUUUAUCAUUUGCAAUAAACAUUGAAUUGUGCCUUUCUUUGAAGUGACAGGACUACUCUGUUCAUUUCAGAGGAAAUGUGUGACAAAUAUUCAAGUCUAAACACUUAUGGUUUGUUAGUCAGUCAUUGUCUCAAGCAGAAAAUGUGCACAUGAAGAUAAAUGGCUUGUUCAUCUUGCAACCCAAAUGAUUAUAGAUGCCUUUCUUUGUGAGUCUCUGUGGAGUUUCAUUGUUCAGUGAAUAUGCCUUACAUUUAUUCUUUGAUUCGCAGUAAA
Molecule: long non-coding RNA, 1587 nt
Organism: Peromyscus californicus insignis
Lineage: Eukaryota; Metazoa; Chordata; Mammalia; Rodentia; Cricetidae
Exons: 3
Source: RefSeq, a predicted model, not a curated record